RNAcentral lists this ribosomal RNA (87 nucleotides) under Streptococcus thermophilus. Lineage: Bacteria; Bacillati; Bacillota; Bacilli; Lactobacillales; Streptococcaceae. The record is from RNAcentral.
UUAAGUGACGAUAGCCUAGGAGAUACACCUGUUCCCAUGCCGAACACAGAAGUUAAGCCCUAGUACGCCUGAUGUAGUUGGGGGUUG